GAUGAACGCUAGCUACAGGCUUAACACAUGCAAGUCGAGGGGCAGCACUAGGUAGCAAUACUGAGGUGGCGACCGGCGCACGGGUGCGUAACGCGUAUCCAACCUUCCCGUUACUCUUGGAUAGCCUUCCGAAAGGGAGAUUAAUACAAGAUGGUAUUCAAAUUCCGCAUGUUAUUUGAAUUAAAGAUUUAUCGGUAACGGAUGGGGAUGCGUGACAUUAGGUAGAUGGCGGGGUAACGGCCCACCAUGCCUACGAUGUCUAGGGGUUCUGAGAGGAAGGUCCCCCCACACUGGAACUGAGACACGGUCCAGACUCCUACGGGAGGCAGCAGUGAGGAAUAUUGGUCAAUGGUCGGAAGACUGAACCAGCCAAGUAGCGUGAAGGAUGAAGGUUCUAUGGAUUGUAAACUUCUUUUAUACGGGAAUAAAACCUCCCACGUGUGGGAGCUUGUAUGUACCGUAUGAAUAAGCAUCGGCUAACUCCGUG
RNAcentral lists this ribosomal RNA (487 nucleotides) under uncultured bacterium. Its description in RNAcentral is "bacterial SSU rRNA". It matches the Rfam family "Bacterial small subunit ribosomal RNA", at positions 28 to 507 of the family's 1533-position model. The record is from RNAcentral.